Molecule: ribosomal RNA, 325 nt
Filed under: Aphyosemion splendopleure
Lineage: Eukaryota; Metazoa; Chordata; Actinopteri; Cyprinodontiformes; Nothobranchiidae
Also listed under: 1 other name
Description: partial 12S ribosomal RNA
Rfam family: Bacterial small subunit ribosomal RNA
Source: RNAcentral
UUCGCCAGGGAACUACGAGCAUAAGCUUAAAACCCAAAGGACUUGGCGGUGCUUUAGACCCCCCUAGAGGAGCCUGUUCUAUAACCGAUAAUCCCCGUUAAACCUCACCUUUUCUUGUUAUUUCCGCCUAUAUACCGCCGUCGUCAGCUUACCCUGUGAAGGCUGCUCAGUAAGCAAGAUCGAUUCUAUCCAAAACGUCAGGUCGAGGUGUAGCAUAUGAAGAGGAAAGAAAUGGGCUACAUUUUCUAAUCUAGAAAAUAACGGAAAUUGCCAUGAAACAGUAAUUCAAGGAGGAUUUAGCAGUAAGCAGAGAAUAGAGAGCUCC